Fukomys damarensis (Damara mole-rat) is the source of this 745-nucleotide long non-coding RNA. RefSeq lists it as uncharacterized. The transcript has 4 exons. Lineage: Eukaryota; Metazoa; Chordata; Mammalia; Rodentia; Bathyergidae. The record is from RefSeq and is a predicted model, not a curated record.
CUCCAGCCAGGACGAAUCUGAGAAAAAUCAAAUAAUAACAGCAGAAGAGUCCCUGAGGAGAUGCCCCUUCCUCCCCGCAUCCCCUCGAGAGAUGCCUUCUUUUCUCUGUGUGUAGGAAAGCUGGCCCUGUGAGCAGCGUCCCCAGUACACAGCCAGGUUUGGGCACUAGAGAGCAAGUGUGACCUCUGCAGGAAAGUAACUGAAGAUCAACCCAAGGAGAAUCCCACAGGCCAUUUACCCGGAGCCUACGACCCCAGGAACACGAUACUAAAGAGAAAGAAAACCCAGCUCCCAAUGGCUACGAGAAGCGUGGAAUCUAACUAGGAGCCGUCGGUACAGGGACAGCUUCCUCUCCUCUUGAGCUGCAUGGGAGGUGUGAGGACGAGGCCUGACUCUCCGACGGGGAUUGUGGGCUCAGGGGUCCUCUCCUGUGCUUCUGGGGUUCAUUUGUCCCAGAACUCUGCGUGUCGGUGGCCUGGAGCCCAUCACAGACAAGGCUGUCAUCAGAGCCCCGGAUUCACUCCCCACCCUGUCUUCAGUUGACCCCGUCACACGGGCACAGGGAUACACCCAGUGUGACAGUCACCACAGUGCAGCACUUACUCAGUUCGUAGCUAGGAAGGCUCCUGUUUCGGUGACUCUGUGCACUGCAGUCUCAUGAUUCUGUGUGAGUGUGCGUGCGUUGGAGCAUCUUCCUAAGCACACUCUCCAUCCUACUGGCCAUGACACCUGAAAGUAAAUAAAA